CCUAGACCUAGAAGACAGAAGAAAUAGAGAAGUGCUUUUGGUUCAUAAAUUUUAUUGGGGCUUGCAAGAAACAGAGAAUACAGACAUGGCACACAUGUUGGGAAAACCAUACUUGACCCUCUUGGGUGUGGAGCUCUAUUCAUCUGGCUAAAACUCCUGGUACAGUAUUGAACUGAAAUAGUGGAAGCAGACAUCCUUGUCUUGUUCCUGAAAUUAAGGCAAGAGAGAAAAUCCAAAAUUCUUCAUUUGGGCCAGAACCAGAGUUGUUGACCCAGGUAUUUGAAACCCAUAAAUAAAAUUUUCUUAGGGGUCAAUUUGUUGGAAAUGACCAUA
This is a long non-coding RNA of Capra hircus (goat), 333 nucleotides long. RefSeq lists it as uncharacterized. The record is from RefSeq and is a predicted model, not a curated record. The transcript is spliced from 4 exons. NCBI's taxonomy places the organism in Eukaryota, Metazoa, Chordata, Mammalia, Artiodactyla, Bovidae.